Molecule: long non-coding RNA, 157 nt
Organism: Asparagus officinalis (garden asparagus)
Lineage: Eukaryota; Viridiplantae; Streptophyta; Magnoliopsida; Asparagales; Asparagaceae
Exons: 3
Source: RefSeq, a predicted model, not a curated record
GAUGGAACAAAACCAGACGAUAGCCACGUUAUCCGCCACCAAGGCGAGCCUUCAACAGUGUAUUCUGGAGGCGAGGAGCCGCUACCAGAGGCUGAGAGAAGCUAAUUCUUGGUUAAAAGAAUUUAAAUCCAGGCUGGCGCACACAAUCUUGGAGCAG